Molecule: ribosomal RNA, 1385 nt
Filed under: Clostridium botulinum
Lineage: Bacteria; Bacillati; Bacillota; Clostridia; Eubacteriales; Clostridiaceae
Description: partial 23S ribosomal RNA
Rfam family: Bacterial large subunit ribosomal RNA
Source: RNAcentral
AUAGGCAAAUCCGUUCUAACAAUUCUGAGGCGUGAUGGGGAAGGUUCUAAGGAACCGAAGUAUCUGAUUCCAUGCUUCCAAGAAAAGCAUCUAGAAAGAGAAAUAGUGCCCGUACCGCAAACCGACACAGGUAGGUGAGGAGAGAAUCCUAAGGCCGGCGGAAGAAUUGCAGUUAAGGAACUAGGCAAAUUGACCCCGUAACUUCGGGAGAAGGGGUGCCUGCGAGAGCAGGCCGCAGAGAAUAGGCACAAGCAACUGUUUAACAAAAACACAGGUCUCUGCUAAAGCGAAAGCUGAUGUAUAGGGGCUGACGCCUGCCCGGUGCUGGAAGGUUAAGGGGAACACUUAGCGUAAGCGAAGGUGUGAACUUAAGCCCCAGUAAACGGCGGCCGUAACUAUAACGGUCCUAAGGUAGCGAAAUUCCUUGUCAGGUAAGUUCUGACCCGCACGAAUGGCGUAAUGACUUGUGCACUGUCUCAACUGCAAAUCCGGCGAAGUUGUAGUGCGAGUGAAGAUGCUCGCUACCCGCGAUUGGACGGAAAGACCCCGUAGAGCUUUACUGUAGCUUAGCAUUGAAUUUCGGUAUUGUCUGUACAGGAUAGGUGGGAGACUGGGAAAUCAGAGCGUCAGCUUUGAUGGAGUCAUCCUUGGGAUACCACCCUGAUAGUACUGGAAUUCUAACUGGAUGCCAUGAAUCUGGUGACAGGACAUUGUUAGGUGGGCAGUUUGACUGGGGCGGUCGCCUCCUAAAAAGUAACGGAGGCGCCCAAAGGUUCCCUCAGAACGGUCGGAAAUCGUUCGUAGAGUGCAAAGGCAUAAGGGAGCCUGACUGCGAGACCUACAAGUCGAGCAGGGACGAAAGUCGGGCUUAGUGAUCCGGUGGUACCUCGUGGGAGGGCCAUCGCUCAACGGAUAAAAGCUACCUCGGGGAUAACAGGCUGAUCUCCCCCAAGAGUUCACAUCGACGGGGAGGUUUGGCACCUCGAUGUCGGCUCGUCGCAUCCUGGGGCUGAAGUAGGUCCCAAGGGUUGGGCUGUUCGCCCAUUAAAGCGGCACGCGAGCUGGGUUCAGAACGUCGUGAGACAGUUCGGUCCCUAUCCGUCGCGGGCGCAGGAAAUUUGAGAAGAGCUGUCCUUAGUACGAGAGGACCGGGAUGGACCGACCUAUGGUGUACCAGUUGUUUCGCCAGAAGCAUAGCUGGGUAGCUAAGUCGGGACGGGAUAAACGCUGAAAGCAUCUAAGCGUGAAGCCUCCUUCAAGAUGAGAUUUCCCAUAGCGUAAGCUAGUAAGACCCCUUGAAGACUACAAGGUUGAUAGGUCAGAGGUGUAAGUGUGGCAACAUAUUUAGCUGACUGAUACUAAUAGGUCGAGGGCUUGACCAAUAA